UACGUAGGGUGCAAGCGUUGUCCGGAAUUAUUGGGCGUAAAGAGCUCGUAGGCGGUUUGUCGCGUCUGCUGUGAAAACUCGGGGCUCAACCCCCGAGCCUGCAGUCGAUACGGGCAGACUAGAGUGCUGUAGGGGGGGACUGGAAUUCCUGGUGUAGCGGUGAAAUGCGCAGAUAUCAGGAGGAACACCAGUGGCGAAGGCGGUCUCUUGGGGGC
Molecule: ribosomal RNA, 215 nt
Filed under: uncultured bacterium
Lineage: Bacteria
Description: partial 16S ribosomal RNA
Rfam family: Bacterial small subunit ribosomal RNA
Source: RNAcentral